This 251-nucleotide ribosomal RNA is filed under the name uncultured prokaryote. Its description in RNAcentral is "partial 16S ribosomal RNA". It matches the Rfam family "Bacterial small subunit ribosomal RNA", at positions 525 to 775 of the family's 1533-position model. The record is from RNAcentral.
ACGUAGGUGACAAGCGUUAUCCGGAAUUACUGGGCGUAAAGCGCACGCAGGCGGCUGAUUAAGUCUGACGUGAAAUCUCCUGGCUUAACUGGGAGGGGUCGUUGGAAACUGGUCGGCUUGAGGCAGUGAGAGGGGUGUGGAAUUCCCGGUGUAGUGGUGGAAUGCGUAGAUAUCGGGAGGAACACCAGUGGCGAAAGCGGCGCCCUGGCACUGGACUGACGCUAAGACGCGACAGCACGGGGAGCGAACGG